GACGAACGCUGGCGGCGUGCCUAAUACAUGCAAGUCGAGCGGACGGAUGGGAGCUUGCUCCCAGACCGUCAGCGGCGGACGGGUGAGUAACACGUGGGCAACCUGCCUGUAAGACUGGGAUAACUCCGGGAAACCGGGGCUAAUACCGGAUAACUCUUUCCCUCACAUGAGGGAAAGCUGAAAGAUGGCAUCUCGCUAUCACUUACAGAUGGGCCCGCGGCGCAUUAGCUAGUUGGUGAGGUAACGGCUCACCAAGGCGACGAUGCGUAGCCGACCUGAGAGGGUGAUCGGCCACACUGGGACUGAGACACGGCCCAGACUCCUACGGGAGGCAGCAGUAGGGAAUCUUCCGCAAUGGACGAAAGUCUGACGGAGCAACGCCGCGUGAGUGAUGAAGGUUUUCGGAUCGUAAAACUCUGUUGUCAGGGAAGAACAAGUACCGGAGUAAUUGCCGGUACCUUGACGGUACCUGACCAGAAAGCCACGGCUAACUACGUG
RNAcentral lists this ribosomal RNA (498 nucleotides) under uncultured bacterium. Its description in RNAcentral is "partial 16S ribosomal RNA". It matches the Rfam family "Bacterial small subunit ribosomal RNA", at positions 28 to 507 of the family's 1533-position model. The record is from RNAcentral.